Molecule: ribosomal RNA, 253 nt
Filed under: uncultured bacterium
Lineage: Bacteria
Description: partial 16S ribosomal RNA
Rfam family: Bacterial small subunit ribosomal RNA
Source: RNAcentral
UACGGAGGGUGCAAGCGUUAAUCGGAAUUACUGGGCGUAAAGCGCACGUAGGUGGUUUGUUAAGCCAGCUGUGAAGUCCCCGGGCUCAACCUGGGCACUGCAGUUGGAACUGGCAAGCUAGAGUAGGGUAGAGGGGUGUGGAAUUCCAGGUGUAGCGGUGAAAUGCGUAGAUAUCUGGAGGAACAUCAGUGGCGAAGGCGACACCCUGGACUCAUACUGACACUGAGGUGCGAAAGCGUGGGGAGCAAACAGG